This 148-nucleotide non-coding RNA is filed under the name Homo sapiens (human). Lineage: Eukaryota; Metazoa; Chordata; Mammalia; Primates; Hominidae. The record is from Rfam by way of RNAcentral.
GCUGGGCGUGGUGGCGCACGGCUGUAAUCUCAGCUACUCAGGAGGCUGAGGCAGGAGAAUCGCUUGAGCCUGGGAGGUGGAUGUUGCAGUGAGCCGAGAUCAUGCCACUGCACUCCAGCCUAGGUGACAGAGUGAGAUUCUGCCUCAA